This 773-nucleotide small RNA is filed under the name Caenorhabditis elegans. RNAcentral describes it as "Unclassified non-coding RNA K02F6.12". The record is from RNAcentral. Lineage: Eukaryota; Metazoa; Nematoda; Chromadorea; Rhabditida; Rhabditidae.
GAUCUUCAAGUCCUUGUCUACCUGGAAGAGGACCAUUUCUACCUGGCACAUGUCAAGUGCAAGACUAGAAAAACAGGCCUGACGGAUUCCUACUUUUUUCAAAUUUCACGUGGAACGGAGCUUGUCAGGGACUCGCUGUUGUCGGUGCGUUUAUUUAGUUUCAGAAUAUUUUAAGAAAUAUUUAAUUCAUUUUCAGGAUAACAAGAUGCCUGUGCAAUUCCACUUGAAUGAUGCGAGAAUUUUCGGGUAUCGCGACCUGGAGAGACUGCAUUUUCCGAUUGAUCUACCGGAUGGCGUGCAGAAAAUUGAAGGCGAGAGUAACGUGGACGCCUAUAUCCGAACCUAUUGCCUGACUGAUAAAGAGGUGAGGCCUUCAGCAAGACUGUGGUAGUUUAGGCUUUUUACUUUUCCAGAAAGCCAGAGUUCCCCGUCUCAACGAAUCUGAAAAGAGAGCAAUGUUUGAUAGGGUAAGGGUAUUUUUGAAAAUUAGGCCAGUAGGCAAGAACCUCUUCCAGAAAAUUCUAAGCAACGAGAUCGGAGUCCACAUGAAGCACGGAGCAAUGUUGAGGGAUUCGAAGUUCAACCCAACCGCCGGAUCGCUUACGCCUUGGGCUGGAACAAAGUGUGCGGAGGUCUCCUGGUUCCUGCCAUCUUCGGGGAGGACGAGAAAUCGACGUGCGGAUUUGCUCGCUGCGAGAGUUGUCAAGUAUACCGAGCACAUUGCACACUUGUAUGUGGCUAGACUGGACAAGACGAUCUACAUGCAUGUCGCG